Molecule: ribosomal RNA, 468 nt
Filed under: uncultured bacterium
Lineage: Bacteria
Description: partial 16S ribosomal RNA
Rfam family: Bacterial small subunit ribosomal RNA
Source: RNAcentral
GACGAACGCUGGCGGCGUGCUUAACACAUGCAAGUCGAACGGAAAGGCCCUGCUUUUGUGGGGUGCUCGAGUGGCGAACGGGUGAGUAACACGUGAGUAACCUGCCCUUGACUUUGGGAUAACUUCAGGAAACUGGGGCUAAUACCGGAUAGGAGCUCCUGCUGCAUGGUGGGGGUUGGAAAGUUUCGGCGGUUGGGGAUGGACUCGCGGCUUAUCAGCUUGUUGGUGGGGUAGUGGCUUACCAAGGCUUUGACGGGUAGCCGGCCUGAGAGGGUGACCGGCCACAUUGGGACGGAGAUACGGCCCAGACUCCUACGGGAGGCAGCAGUGGGGAAGAGUGCACAAUAGGCGGAGGCCUGAUGCAGCAACGCCGCGUGCGGGAUGACGGCCUUCGGGUUGUAAACCGCUGUCGCCUGUGACGAAGCGUGAGUGACGGUAAUGGGUAAAGAAGCACCGGCUAACUACGUG